AGUGAACGCUGGCGGUAGGCCUAACACAUGCAAGUCGAACGGCAGCACAGUAAGAGCUUGCUCUUACGGGUGGCGAGUGGCGGACGGGUGAGGAAUACAUCGGAAUCUACUUUUUCGUGGGGGAUAACGUAGGGAAACUUACGCUAAUACCGCAUACGACCUACGGGUGAAAGCAGGGGAUCUUCGGACCUUGCGCGAUUGAAUGAGCCGAUGUCGGAUUAGCUAGUUGGCGGGGUAAAGGCCCACCAAGGCGACGAUCCGUAGCUGGUCUGAGAGGAUGAUCGGCGACACUGGAACUGAGACACGGUCCAGACUCCUACGGGAGGCAGCAGUGGGGAAUAUGGGACAAUGGGCGGAAGCCUGAUCCAGCCAUACCGCGUGGGUGAAGAAGGCCUUCGGGUUGUAAAGCCCUUUUGUUGGGAAAGAAAAGCAGCAGGUUAAUACCCCGCUGUUCUGACGGUACCCAAAGAAUAAGCACCGGCUAACUUCGUG
RNAcentral lists this ribosomal RNA (492 nucleotides) under uncultured bacterium. RNAcentral describes it as "partial 16S ribosomal RNA". It matches the Rfam family "Bacterial small subunit ribosomal RNA", at positions 29 to 507 of the family's 1533-position model. The record is from RNAcentral.